GUCUUUAUCUGAUUUCUUUCUCGCGGCCAACGCUUUUUCUUCUGCAACAAAAAUUCAGAGGUUUGCACAAAAAAUCAUUCCCAAUGCUGCUCAUUUCAUCAAUGAUAUUAAAUUUUUGUCAAUACCUGGAAGCGGUUUGGACAGUUCAUCUUCGUGAUCAUCGAUAAUUAUCUGGAUCUCACGUGCCAACACCUGAUCCUGCAGUUUAGUGCCUUCAUCCACAGCGUCCUCCGGGGCAUCCGGACCCAGCCUGGAUUUCAUCACGGUCUGGUAAGCCAGAAUCAGUGGAUGUUGUUUAUUUCCAAUCUUCACUUGUAAAUCCCGGGCGGCCAGCCGCACCUUAUCCAGCAGACGAAUGGCACGAAGGGCGGACUCAGCGUCGAAGAAAUCACAGAAUCCAAAAGCUGUGCCGAUACAGCAAUGUUGUUUUGACAAUGUUAUUUGUAUAAAUCCACAAGCGUUAACCUUCGAUUCUUGCGCGGCCGGAAAACCGUACUUGCCAGAACCCCGUUCCCGUUUACCUUCUUUAGCAAACGUUGGCGGGCCGGCUGGCGGAGGCACGGCACGGAAAUUGGGCACUUGUCCCGGCAUGGGAGGAGCGCCAAACGGCAUCUGCGGCGGCAUGGGCAUCGGUCCGCCGGGUGGACGCGGGGGCAUGCCGAAGCCGGGAACGCGCGGGGGUGGAUAAGGAACGCCAUUUACGGGAGUUUCUAAAUGGAAACCUACCCCAGUGGGAAAAUACGGCUGUGGAGUGGGAUUGACAGAGAAUGGAGCAAUAUUCUGCAGCAGAGGAUUCUGUGGUCCCGUCUGCCCUGGUCCUUGUGGCGGUGGACCACCUGCAUACACAUUUCUGGUCAUCCUAGCAGAAAACUAAGCAGAUAUUAUCCCAGUCACCUGGGCCACGUGGAUUCAUGUAGGGAGCAGGAGCAAACGGCAUGCGUCCGCCAGGAACCUGGCCUUGUGCUGGCAGCAUAUUUGGACGGCCAUUAAACAUUGGUGGGGUUCCUGGGCCACUAAAUCCCCCAUACUGUGGAUAGGACAUGUUCACCGUCAACGACGAACACUAAAGGUUUUGCCAAGAGAAAUGAUCAGUCGUAUAUCCUGCUGUAAUCUUACGUUCACGAAAUCCGACAAAACUGGCCAGUAUCUCAGUAUCACCAAAGAUUAAACCCCUCAACCGUAAGGGUGAAACACGAAUAUAAGAAGUCAAAGUAACGACAUCAGAAGGAAGACCAUUAAGGAGAAUGGAUGCGCAAAAGCUACGGUAGUCAAAAUGAAUAUUAACACCACAGAAUAUAAGGGACACAAAUGCACUUUAGCCCACUAAAAAAAGUGGCAGAAAUCAGAAAUGAUAAAUCUGUCCGAAAACGGUGGAAAUCACGGCUCAGUCUUUUGAAGCUUUGGCGUUUUGGGCCAGUAUGGAUGCUUGCGUGGUGCGCAAUGCGCAUUUUUGAGUCUUAACAUUACGCCAACCGCCCUAUACUGCGGUGUCCACUGAAUCGCAGUAUUGUCCUUGGUAUUGUACUUAUUAAUUUGUAUUUGGUGUAAACUUACU
Molecule: long non-coding RNA, 1555 nt
Organism: Paramacrobiotus metropolitanus
Lineage: Eukaryota; Metazoa; Tardigrada; Eutardigrada; Parachela; Macrobiotidae
Exons: 3
Source: RefSeq, a predicted model, not a curated record